This is a small nucleolar RNA of Ornithorhynchus anatinus (platypus), 138 nucleotides long. The record is from RefSeq and is a predicted model, not a curated record. NCBI's taxonomy places the organism in Eukaryota, Metazoa, Chordata, Mammalia, Monotremata, Ornithorhynchidae.
CCCCUUUCAGGAUCAUACCUGGAGAGUUCCUAAUACUCUACCAGUCUUGACUACAGGAGGUAGAGUCUGGCAGAGACAUGUCCAUUCCAUUCCUAGCUUGGGCAGUGGCUAGCUAGUGGAAGGCAAUCUGCUACAAGU